AUCACUAAGCGGAGGAAAAGAAACUAACAAGGAUUCCCUUAGUAGCGGCGAGCGAACCGGGAAGAGCCCAGCUUGAAAAUCGCGCCGUUUCGCGGCCGAGUUGUAGUCUGGAGAAGUGUCCUCUGCAGCGGACCCGUCCUAAGUCCCCUGGAAAGGGGCGUCGGAGAGGGUGAGAACCCCGUCGGGCCGGGACCCUGCUGCUCCACGAGGCGCUGUCGACGAGUCGGGCUGUUUGGGAAUGCAGCCCUAAGUGGGAGGUAAAUUCCUUCCAAGGCUAAAUAUCGGCGGGAGACCGAUAGCGAACAAGUACCGCGAGGGAAAGAUGAAAAGGACUUUGAAAAGAGAGUUAAAAAGUGCUUGAAAUUGCUGGGAGGGAAGCGAAUGGAGGCCUCGUGUGCGCCCCGGUCGGAUGCGGAACGGCGUCAAAGCUGGUCCGCCGCUCGACGCGGGGCGCUGGUCGGCGUGGGCUUCCCCGGCGGGAUAAAAGUCGGCCAUCGCGGCCGGCCGAUGCCGUCGGGGAGGCCGAGGAACCUUUACGAAACGGAAGCGCGCGCCUCCUCCGGGGGGAUGGCGGGCCCUUGCCGGGGGGCACCCGCGCGCUCGGGACGUCGGCGCAGUGGGCUU
Molecule: ribosomal RNA, 624 nt
Filed under: Riccia concava
Lineage: Eukaryota; Viridiplantae; Streptophyta; Marchantiopsida; Marchantiales; Ricciaceae
Description: eukaryotic LSU rRNA
Rfam family: Eukaryotic large subunit ribosomal RNA
Source: RNAcentral